CCUACGGGAGGCAGCAGUGGGGAAUCUUGCGCAAUGGGCGAAAGCCUGACGCAGCCAUGCCGCGUGAAUGAUGAAGGUCUUAGGAUUGUAAAAUUCUUUCACCGGGGACGAUAAUGACGGUACCCGGAGAAGAAGCCCCGGCUAACUUCGUGCCAGCAGCCGCGGUAAUACGAAGGGGGCUAGCGUUGCUCGGAAUUACUGGGCGUAAAGGGAGCGUAGGCGGAUAGUUUAGUCAGAGGUGAAAGCCCAGGGCUCAACCUUGGAAUUGCCUUUGAUACUGGCUAUCUUGAGUAUGGGAGAGGUAUGCGGAACUCCGAGUGUAGAGGUGAAAUUCGUAGAUAUUCGGAAGAACACCAGUGGCGAAGGCGGCAUACUGGCCCAUUACUGACGCUGAGGCUCGAAAGCGUGGGGAGCAAACAGGAUUAGAUACCCUGGUAGUCCACGCUGUAAACGAUGAGUGCUAGUUGUCGGCAUGCAUGCACGUCGGUGACGCAGCUAACGCAUAAGCACCUCCGCCGUCGGGGUAGGUACGGUCGGCGAAGAAGUUAAAACUAACGAAAGGAAGUUAGUACGGCGUGAGACGUCGCCGACGGACGACCGACGAGGGAGGUUAGG
Molecule: ribosomal RNA, 615 nt
Filed under: uncultured bacterium
Lineage: Bacteria
Description: bacterial SSU rRNA
Rfam family: Bacterial small subunit ribosomal RNA (bases 1-517)
Source: RNAcentral